AUGAAGCUAUGGGAGAGAGUCAUUGAGCACCGCUUAAGAAGAAUGACAAGCGUGACCAAAAAUCAGUUUGGUUUCAUGCCUGGGAGGUCAACCAUGGAAGCCAUUUUCUUGGUACGACAACUUAUGGAGAGAUAUAGGGAGCAAAAGAAGGACUUGCAUAUGGUGUUCAUUGACUUGGAGAAGGCCUAUGAUAAGAUACCGCAGAAUGUCAUGUGGUGGGCCUUGGAGAAACACAAAGUCCCAGCAAAGUACAUUACCCUCAUCAAGGACAUGUAUGAUAAUGUUGUGACAAGUGUUCGAACAAGUGAUGUCGACACUGAUGACUUCCCGAUUAAGAUAGGACUGCAUCAAGGGUCAGCUUUGAGCCCUUAUCUUUUUGCAUUGGUGAUGGAUGAGGUCACAAGGGAUAUACAAGGAGAUAUCCCAUGGUGUAUGCUCUUUGCGGAUGAUGUGGUGCUAGUUGACGAUAGUCGGACGGGGGUAAAUAGGAAGUUAGAGUUAUGGAGACAAACCUUGGAAUCGAAAGGGUUUAGGCUUAGUAGAACUAAAACCGAGUACAUGAUGUGCGGUUUCAGUACUACUAGGUGUGAGGAGGAGGUUAGCCUUGAUGGCCAGGUGGUACCUCAGAAGGACACCUUUCGGUAUUUGGGGUCAAUGCUGCAGGAGGAUGGGGGUAUUGAUGAAGAUGUGAACCAUCGAAUCAAAGCCGGAUGGAUGAAGUGGCGCCAAGCUUCUGGCAUUCUCUGUGACAAGAGAGUGCCACAAAAGCUAAAAGGCAAGUUCUACAGGAUGGCGGUUUGA
This 801-nucleotide ribosomal RNA is filed under the name Triticum aestivum (bread wheat). RNAcentral describes it as "partial small subunit ribosomal RNA". Lineage: Eukaryota; Viridiplantae; Streptophyta; Magnoliopsida; Poales; Poaceae. The record is from RNAcentral.